RNAcentral lists this long non-coding RNA (858 nucleotides) under Parus major (Great Tit). RNAcentral's name for it is "lncRNA (ENSPMJG00000000305.1)". The record is from RNAcentral. Lineage: Eukaryota; Metazoa; Chordata; Aves; Passeriformes; Paridae.
GUAUCAGUAUUAUUCACUCCCUUGAUGUAAUUGGCAAGUUAAAACUUUUUCCCUGAAUCUUGAUUGCAGAUUUAUAUUUUCUCCAGAUGUUAAUACUAGAAAUUUACAUGUACACUGUGUAACAAUUUUACAUUCCUGUCUCCUUGUAGGAGUUAAAAAAAAUAACAGCUUUCUAAGUUUUUAAUUCCUUCAAUUUAAAAAAAAAUCCUUUAAUAAUAUGCUGUCCAUUUUCAGUGUUUAAAGAUGUCUUCUCUUAUGAUAUACAAGAAUAAUAAUUACAGGAGAAUUUGUUUAGGCUCUUUUUAGCUUUAGUUCCUCUGUUUGAUCAACUAUUUUGAUUAGUGCAGUUUUUUCUGGCUUUUUUUUUGUUUUGUUUGUUUUUCUAGUUUCAGAUGCAAGUGAUUCUGAAAAGUAAAUAUGUGGAACAUUUCAUUGAACAAGUGAAAGGCUGGAAAAGUAAAUAAAACAUGGCAGAUUCUGUCAUUUCUAUUUGGAUGGAGUUUCAACAUGUGGUAUCUUCAUCAAACAUUUAGUGACUGACAUAACAAAUAAAGAAAAUGUGAUGGAAGCUGUAAGAAAACCGAAGGUGUAUGAAAGCUUUGAAGCUCUGCAGCAGAGAAGCCAUCCUGGCCUGUGAAGAGAGACAGAGAGAACAGUGAGUUUUUGACCACCCAGCCCAGGUUGAACUUAGUGCUUUGCAAACCUGAUGGGCUUUAGAUGCAGAAAUGUCAUCCAGUAGGCUGAAAGAGAGCUCGGCAACAGCCCUGAAGGAUUGCCACUAGAAGCAGGUAUUGAUAUCUCCUUUUUGUUUCAUUCAGAGAAAAUAAAUACAGUGUGAAAAUAGUCGUAUAGUUUGCA